AAAAAUUAAUUUACGCCGCAGACAGCAAGUGGAGUUAUCCUUAAUUUCUUGCCGAGGUUGUAAGGUUAAAGUGCUUUAUUUAUAACAAUACUGCUAUUUUGUCCUUGCGCCGUAAGCGGCGCAAGGGUUUUUUAUUUUU
RNAcentral lists this small RNA (139 nucleotides) under chicken gut metagenome. RNAcentral describes it as "Ribosomal protein L10 leader". It matches the Rfam family "Ribosomal protein L10 leader". From Rfam's summary of the family: This family is a putative r-protein leader autoregulatory structure found in B. subtilis and other low-GC Gram-positive bacteria. It is located in the 5' untranslated regions of mRNAs encoding ribosomal proteins L10 and L12 (rplJ-rplL). A Rho-independent transcription terminator structure that is probably involved in regulation is included at the 3' end. The record is from RNAcentral.